RNAcentral lists this ribosomal RNA (468 nucleotides) under uncultured bacterium. Its description in RNAcentral is "partial 16S ribosomal RNA". It matches the Rfam family "Bacterial small subunit ribosomal RNA", at positions 28 to 507 of the family's 1533-position model. The record is from RNAcentral.
GACGAACGCUGGCGGCGUGCUUAACACAUGCAAGUCGAACGGAAAGGCCCUGCUUUUGUGGGGUGCUCGAGUGGCGAACGGGUGAGUAACACGUGAGUAACCUGCCCUUGACUUUGGGAUAACUUCAGGAAACUGGGGCUAAUACCGGAUAGGAGCUCCUGCUGCAUGGUGGGGGUUGGAAAGUUUCGGCGGUUGGGGAUGGUCUCGCGGCUUAUCAGCUUGUUGGUGGGGUAGUGGCUUACCAAGGCUUUGACGGGUAGCCGGCCUGAGAGGGUGACCAGCCACAUUGGGACUGAGAUACGGCCCAGACUCCUACGGGAGGCAGCAGGGGGGAAUCUUGAACAAUGGGCGGAAGCCUGAUGCAGCAACGCCGCGUGCGGGAUGACGGCCUUCGGGUUGUAAACCGCUUUCGCCUGUGACGAAGCGUGAGUGACGGUAAUGGGUAAAGAAGCACCGGCUAACUACGUG